RNAcentral lists this ribosomal RNA (277 nucleotides) under uncultured Christensenellaceae bacterium. RNAcentral describes it as "partial 16S ribosomal RNA". It matches the Rfam family "Bacterial small subunit ribosomal RNA", at positions 511 to 788 of the family's 1533-position model. Lineage: Bacteria; Bacillati; Bacillota; Clostridia; Christensenellales; Christensenellaceae. The record is from RNAcentral.
GCAGCCGCGGUAAUACGGAGGAUGCGAGCGUUAUCCGGAUUUAUUGGGUUUAAAGGGUGCGUAGGCGGCACGUCAAGUCAGCGGUUAAAUGUCGGGGCUCAACCUCGGCCUGCCGUUGAAACUGAUGAGCUAGAGAGGAUGAGAAGUAUGCGGAAUGCGUGGUGUAGCGGUGAAAUGCAUAGAUAUCACGCAGAACUCCGAUUGCGAAGGCAGCAUGCCGGCAUCUAUCUGACGCUGAGGCACGAAAGCGUGGGGAUCGAACAGGAUUAGAUACCCC